RNAcentral lists this ribosomal RNA (497 nucleotides) under uncultured bacterium. RNAcentral describes it as "partial 16S ribosomal RNA". It matches the Rfam family "Bacterial small subunit ribosomal RNA", at positions 28 to 507 of the family's 1533-position model. The record is from RNAcentral.
GAUGAACGCUGGCGGCGUGCCUAAUACAUGCAAGUCGAGCGGACAGACGAGGAUCUUGCUUCUCUGAUGUUUGCGGCGCGCGUGUGAGUAACACGUGGAUAACCUCCCUAUAAUACUGGUAUAACUUGGGGAAACCGGAGCUAAUACCGUAUGAUAUUUUGAAGCGCGUUGGGCGAAGGUAAAAGUCGGUCUUUCUGUCACUUAUAGAGGGAUCCGCGCUUGAUUGUGUGGUUGUUAAGGUAACGGGUUUUCAAGGCAGCGAUGCAUAUCCGAACUGAGUGGGUGGUAGGCCACAUUGGAAGUGAGACAGCGUCAAGAGUCCUACGGGACGCAGCAGUAGGGAAUGGUAGGCAAUGGGCGAAAGCCUGACGCAGCAACGCCGCGUGAGUGGUGAAGGCCUUCGGAUCGUAAAAAUGUGUUAUUAGUGAAGAACAUAUGUGUAAGUAACUGUGGCCAUAUUGACGGUAACGAAUAAGAAAGCACCGGCUAACUACGUG